UACGAAGGGGGCUAGCGUUGUUCGGAAUUACUGGGCGUAAAGCGCACGUAGGCGGAUAUUUAAGUCAGGGGUGAAAUCCCAGAGCUCAACUCUGGAACUGCCUUUGAUACUGGGUAUCUUGAGUAUGGAAGAGGUAAGUGGAAUUGCGAGUGUAGAGGUGAAAUUCGUAGAUAUUCGCAGGAACACCAGUGGCGAAGGCGGCUCACUGGACCGGAACUGACGCUGAGGUGCGAAAGCGUGGGGAGCAAACAGG
This 253-nucleotide ribosomal RNA is filed under the name uncultured bacterium. RNAcentral describes it as "partial 16S ribosomal RNA". It matches the Rfam family "Bacterial small subunit ribosomal RNA", at positions 524 to 776 of the family's 1533-position model. The record is from RNAcentral.